This 497-nucleotide ribosomal RNA is filed under the name uncultured bacterium. RNAcentral describes it as "partial 16S ribosomal RNA". It matches the Rfam family "Bacterial small subunit ribosomal RNA", at positions 30 to 507 of the family's 1533-position model. The record is from RNAcentral.
AUUGAACGCUGGCGGCAGGCCUAACACAUGCAAGUCGAGCGAACGAAGGGGGCUUGUUCCUGUAUGACGCUGCCGACGGAUGAGUAAGGCCCAGGAAGAUGACUGGCCGUGGGGGAUAGGGUCAGGAAAGGGGACCUAAUCCAGCAUACGUUAUUAUGGAGAAAGGGAUGGUUCAUUAGAGCUAACGCUAUUAGAUGACCCUAAUACGUGGUACCAGGUCGGAUUAGCUAGUUGGUAGGGUAACGGCCUACCAAGGCGACGAUGCGUAGCUGACCUGAGAGGAUGAUCAGCCACACUGGAACUGAGACACGGUCCAGACUCCUACGGGAGGCAGCAGUGGGGAAUCUUGGACAAUGGGCGAAAGCCUGAUCCAGCCAUGCCGCGUGUGUGAAGAAGGUCUUCGGAUUGUAAAGCACUUUUAGUUGGGAGGAAGGGCAGUAAGAUAAUCCCUUGAUGUCUUGACGGUACCAACACAAAAAGCACCGGCUAACUUCGUG